This 523-nucleotide ribosomal RNA is filed under the name Streptosporangium sp. 310G08. RNAcentral's name for it is "bacterial SSU rRNA". It matches the Rfam family "Bacterial small subunit ribosomal RNA", at positions 93 to 633 of the family's 1533-position model. The record is from RNAcentral. Lineage: Bacteria; Bacillati; Actinomycetota; Actinomycetes; Streptosporangiales; Streptosporangiaceae.
GAGCGGCGAACGGGUGAGUAACACGUGAGUAACCUGCCCCUGACUCUGGGAUAAGCCCGGGAAACUGGGUCUAAUACCGGAUAUGACACCUCCUGGCAUCGGGUGGGUGUGGAAAGUUUUUUCGGUUGGGGAUGGACUCGCGGCCUAUCAGCUUGUUGGUGGGGUAAUGGCCUACCAAGGCGACGACGGGUAGCCGGCCUGAGAGGGCGACCGGCCACACUGGGACUGAGACACGGCCCAGACUCCUACGGGAGGCAGCAGUGGGGAAUAUUGCGCAAUGGGCGAAAGCCUGACGCAGCGACGCCGCGUGGGGGAUGACGGCCUUCGGGUUGUAAACCUCUUUCAGCAGGGACGAAGUUGACGUGUACCUGCAGAAGAAGCGCCGGCUAACUACGUGCCAGCAGCCGCGGUAAUACGUAGGGCGCAAGCGUUGUCCGGAAUUAUUGGGCGUAAAGAGCUCGUAGGUGGCUUGUCACGUCGGGUGUGAAAGCUUGGGGCUUAACUCCAGGUCUGCAUUCGAUAC